CCUACGGGAGGCAGCAGUGGGGAAUAUUGGGCAAUGGAGGCAACUCUGACCCAGCAACGCCGCGUGAGCGAUGAAGGUCUUCGGAUUGUAAAGCUCUUUAAGCGGGGACGAAGAAAGUGACUGUACCCGCAGAAUAAGCCUCGGCUAACUACGUGCCAGCAGCCGCGGUAAUACGUAGGAGGCAAGCGUUAUCCGGAAUGACUGGGCGUAAAGGGUGCGUAGGUGGUUUGGCAAGUUGGUAGCGUAAUCCCGGGGCUCAACCUCGGUGCUACUACCAAAACUGUUGAACUUGAGUGCAGGAGGGGUGAAUGGAAUUCCCAGUGUAGCGGUGGAAUGCGUAGAUAUUGGGAAGAACACCAGCGGCGAAGGCGAUUCACUGGACUGUAACUGACACUGAGGCACGAAAGCGUGGGGAGCAAACAGGAUUAGAUACCCUUGUAGUC
RNAcentral lists this ribosomal RNA (443 nucleotides) under uncultured bacterium. RNAcentral describes it as "partial 16S ribosomal RNA". It matches the Rfam family "Bacterial small subunit ribosomal RNA", at positions 338 to 795 of the family's 1533-position model. The record is from RNAcentral.